CUGCUUAAAUGUUUAUGAUAGUUGAGCGUAUGUUAUGAAACCUGAGUCCAUGCAGUUGACAACACAGAUCUACGUAAACAUAAUUUUCCACCUCCCAACAUUUUGAAAGUUUUUGAUUUAAAAAAGUAAGCUUUUUAAUUUCUCAGACGUAUAUGGGUGUGUACGUCCGUUUCUACAGAUAAACAACUUAAUUCCACAACAGGCACUACAAUUAUAUUGGGAUAAUGAGACAUAUGAGAAGAAAAGAAUUGUCACGGUGGCGACGACGUACAUGUGGCUCAAUAGAGUAAGUCGACCGAGAUUACCAGAAGGACGGUUUUUUUUCCUCAACAAUAAUAAAAUUGCUGAUUCUUAACGCACGCACCGGUGUGGACCCCGGGGAGGGAUUACAGAUAAUCACUGCGAACGCGGAUGACACGCCGCAAUACCUCUGUCAAAACGUCAAAAACCUUCACGGAUCUUCUCGUCACGGGUCAUCUACAUCAUCGGGUAGUUAUAAAUAUUAGGAGGCAGAGGCGUAGUCGUCGUUGCAACAACACAACGGCAGAGCAUUUGUCAUAUAUGGCAAAUGGCCGUGUCCCCCGCGAAUACCGUCUAUAUAACUUAUAUUAUUAUUAUAAUAUUAUCGUCAGACACCACGCUGGGAGGUCUUCUCCAAUGUCCUCGAAAACACACACACACACACACACACGUGUCGAGUAUCCGACAUACGCACAUAAUAUACAGGAGGAUUCACCAAGCAUGCCUUCAGUGGUCACCCCAUGGUGGAGAUUCGAUCCCCGAUUCUAUGUUUUGUACAAAAAUUAGAUGCUAAUGACUGUACUAACCAUUCCGGUCUUCGGAUAAAACUUCUGAAAACAUAAAUAAAUUUGUCAUAAAGUUUACUUGCGAAAUCAAAUUGCCACUUUUUUGAAUUUGAAUUUCUAAGAAUAUUAAUAAUAUUUGAGUGAAAAAUUAAUUUAAGAACAUAAACAUGAGGAAAUCUUUUUCAAGUAACUAUACUUCAUGGCAAAUUCAAAUACGUUCAGAAAUGUUAUCGGCUAAAAAGAAAAGUUAAUACGAUUUGUCAAAGAUUGAUGAUUUUUACCAAAAACAAAAAAAAAUUAAUAUUCGUGGAAUGCGCGUUAUUGACAUGUACCUACAUGAGGUAUUGCUUCACUAUUUCUAGUACACACAGUCAUACAUACUAUGCAUACUAAUGAUAGUUUACUACUCAUACAUUUACAAGAGCAACACACAAACCCAUAGACAAUUUCCUAAUGCUUAUAGGAUUCCUUAGGAGACAAUUCCUUAUGCUUUUAUUAAACCCAUUAAAAACGGCCAGUAUAGCGUUUAAUCCCAUUUACCCUUAAUAUACAAUUCUGAUUUUUGAAACUUUUUAAUAUACUUUAUUUACUUGCAUUUCCAUCACAACAAAAUAGGGGCAAGCGGACUUGCUGAAUCACUCUGUAUAUUAUUCGUACAGCCCUCGGCAACGUGUGUGUAUCAAUCCGGAAACUGUCCUGGUCAUGGUCAACCUUAUUUUGGUACAGUCACACUGGCAUUGCCGGGUUAAAAAGGCUGAAACUAGUAUAAUGUUCGAUUAUCGCACUUGUCAGACCAGACCGACAUGAUGGGUCGGUCGAGAAAUGUUUAAUUUUCGACAGUCGACCUGUCAGUUGGAUAAAUAUAUCAGACCUACACUAAUACAAAUUAUUAAUAUGAUUUUUCAUAUUUUAAUAGUGCAGUUCUGACAUUUACUGUUAAUUAUAAAAGUCUAAGACUUCCUUACAGUUAUAUUCCACCACGCCAAAUUCAUACCUUCGGUACCCAAUUAUAUAUACCAUGAAUAAUAACAAUUCAAUGAAAAACAAUAUUUUUAAAAAAAAACUGUUUACUUUAAUAAAACGUAAAUAAGUGCCUACCGUACCUAUAAAAUCAGGUAGAUAUAAGUACUUUGUUAUAAACUAUAAAUGAUAAUACACAUGGUAAUGUGUAACAAAUAAAACUUUUUCUGUGCAUACUGAUGCUUAAAAUUGUUGAUGCUAUCAACAAAUUUAGGUUUUUUAUUUCAUAUAACAAACAUAUAUAUAAAUAAAAUAUAAAUAUAUGUGUAUGUAUGUAUAUGACUCGUAUUCAUCCUUCCCAUUACAAGCACUUGAUUUCAAAUCCGGUUACCCACGAAAACGGAUUCUAAAUGAUAUUUACGAGUCCGAAUCGUAAUAAUUACAACGACUGCAACGCGUUUAUUAUCGCGCGCUGGUCGAGACGGACCACCUUGAGCGCCGCCGCAUAUUAUAAAUCCAAUUUAUUCCGAAGAGCUCGCGCGUA
Molecule: long non-coding RNA, 2310 nt
Organism: Myzus persicae (green peach aphid)
Lineage: Eukaryota; Metazoa; Arthropoda; Insecta; Hemiptera; Aphididae
Exons: 3
Source: RefSeq, a predicted model, not a curated record